RNAcentral lists this ribosomal RNA (442 nucleotides) under uncultured bacterium. RNAcentral's name for it is "partial 16S ribosomal RNA". It matches the Rfam family "Bacterial small subunit ribosomal RNA", at positions 28 to 507 of the family's 1533-position model. The record is from RNAcentral.
GAUGAACGCUGGCGGCGUGCCUUAUACAUGCAAGUCGAGUGGGUUUAGACCCACGGCAAACGGGUGAGUAACACAUAGGUACUUUCCUUGUCACAGGAAUAACCCUCCGAAAGGAGGGCUAAUACCUGAUGUGAUCGCAAGAUUAAAGGGUAUCCACAAGGAUUACCGGACAAGAAGAGGCCUGCGGCCUAUCAGCUAGUUGGCGGGGUAAAUGCCCACCAAGGCUAUGACGGGUAGCUGGUCUUAUGAGGAUGAUCAGUCACAUGGGCACUGAGACACGGGCCCAACUCCUACGGGAGGCAGCAGUAGGGAAUUUUGCGCAAUGGGCGAAAGCCUGACGCAGCGACGCCGCGUGCGGGAUGAAGGCCUUCGGGUCGUAAACCGCUUUUAUAAGGGACGAACUUUGACGGUACCUUAUGAAUAAGAGGUUGCUAACUCUGUG